Molecule: non-coding RNA, 2939 nt
Organism: Momordica charantia (bitter melon)
Lineage: Eukaryota; Viridiplantae; Streptophyta; Magnoliopsida; Cucurbitales; Cucurbitaceae
Source: RefSeq, a predicted model, not a curated record
UUCUUUUAACAAAUUAACAAUGUGGGUUCGAGUAUGUGUAUGAAUACAUUAACGUGAGCAUGUAUUUAAACAACAGAGGUUGAAUGCAAGUAUUGUGAAGCAGAUGUUAGGUGGAAAAAUAUAGUAUGGACCAAAGGAUUAUUUUUUGAAAAUUUUGGAACUAAAAUAGAUAUUAUAAAAGUUCAAGACCAAAAUGGUUAUUGUUUUAAGCUCAAAGACUAAAAUGGAACAAAUCAAAAGUUCUACUCUAAAUAUCCAACGAUAUAUGCUUUCCAUUUAUCAACGUUUUGAGGUAGUCGUGGGAAUUAUCUGAUAUUAAAAAGUCUUACCUGCAAGAGCAAGAAAUAAAGAUGAACUGUGAUAAAGAUAUUGAGAUUUACAUUAGUGCACCCCCAAUAAGACGUGUGUUUAUCUUUGUUACGUAGCUUUUAGCGAGAAUCAGAAGAAAAUUACAACCCAUCUCAUGCUUAUCCUUCUAAAAUACUGUAGAAAACUGCAUGCAGUUUAAGAAAUCUCGUUUCUUUGACCCCAUGUUUGUAUUGCACCUAAAUUGGCUGCUUAUGAUUGUGCCUUAUUAGUGUGAGCUUCCAAAGACUUUGGAGGAAAAAUUUAAUUGCAACAUUGUUUUUGGUCUGAUAACUAUUUGAUUCUAUAUUUUACUUGUGUUCCUGAAACCCCAUACUCAUUUAAGACUUGGGUAGUAGAAAAAAUGAAGGCAAUUCGUCGUUUUGUUACUGUUAAAUUAUAUUUACUAUCUUUUAAUUUUCUUUUUAAUUUUCUAUUUAGGAGGGUUUCCUUGUUCUAAUAGGUAAGUGUUUACUUAUCCUAAUAGGCAUGGGUCUCGUUCUCUUUUCUUCUUUGUAGUUGCUAUUUAUACUCUUGUAUCAACUCUUUAAAGUAUUAAGUAAAUUUAUAAUUAUUUUUCUUAUCAAUUAACAUGGUAUCAGAGCGAGAGGUGUCCUGUGUUUGAACCCCUCCAUUGUUGUUUCCUCCCCAUUUAUAAUGAUUUCCACUUGUUGGGUCUUGUGCAAUUAUCCAAGCCCACGAGUGAGGUGGAGUACUGAGAAUCCAUAUAAAUGAAUUAAGUUUACCCAACCCAUCAGUUUAAGCUUUUGGGUUGGGUGGUGGUUUAUUCAUCAUUAACGGUUACAUCUGGUGGCUCUCAAUUUUUUCAUUAGGCCAAUGGUAUAGCAAUCUUUAGGUGUGCGAGCAUUAGAUAGUGCAUUAGUUAAUGACAUUAAGAAAUGAUUUAGAAAGAUUCCAAAAUAUUAUGUCCCCAAAGUCAUAUAUUACAUAAGACUUUUGAAAAUCAUGAUAUCUUGUGGCUCUUUCAUUUUGCAUGAAUGUUUGAUCCUGCAUUGGUUGGAAUGCCCAUGUUAUUUCACUAGGAUAUCUGCCUGGAUUACUUUUUCUUUUAAGUUAGUGAAUGGGAGAAGAUGAGUAGGCAAGGUGUUACCCUCAUGUGUUACUGGAAUGGGAAAGAGAACUAGUGGACCACAUGGCAUUUCUUCUGAAGGUGCUGCACCAAAGCCCAUCCGAGUUAGCUACGGCAUAACACACGAGUUGAUGGAUAGGAUCUAUGGGGUUACUGGAUUCAACAAGAAACCGUUUAAAUUGAAGAUAAUAUGUCGGUAUCCAGCCUGUAGAGAAUACAUACCUGUGCCAAUUGAUGACGAUGAGUCCGUAGAUAUCAUGUUUGACGUGGCACGACAACCAGGAACUAAUUGUCUGGAGCUAUAUGUUGAAAGAGAGCCACCCUGCGAUCAUAACCCAUAAAUGUUGCAGAACCAACCACUGUUGAUAACCAGACAACAGACGAGAUGGCCACACGUGAUGCCCAAGUUGAAAGCCUUUUAGAUCCGGGACCAGUAGACAAAUCUGUUCUUGUUCUACAAAAUCAGCAUAGAUUUGAAGCCAUAUGGGCGGGGGAGGGACCUAGUGUGUUAACUUGUAGACAGCGACUAGCAGCAAUGAUCAAAGAUUGGCAAUUGGAUCAUUGUGUCCGUCAACUUAUCAUCAAGGUUGGAUUUUAUGGGGUACAUAGGGUUGGGUUCUUACAAAUUGAUUGGCCUUUGAUAACAGCAUUGGCUGAGAGGUGGCAGCAAGAAACUCAUACUUUCCAUUUUACGAUUGGUGAGAGUACUGUCACACUACAAGAUGUAGCAUUAUUGUUAGGUUUACGAAUAAAUGGCUGGGUAGUUGACUGGAAAUACUGAUCUCCAGUGUGAGGAGCUAUUAGGCUUGAGGCCUGAUGCAAGUGGGCUCCAUGGUUCAGCCCUUAAGGUUAGUUGGUUGCAAGCUCAUUUCCAUGAGCCUCCACCCAAUGCAGAUGAGGUUACAUUACAACGCUAUGGGCGUAUAUUUUGGGUUUGAUGGGUGGUGUUCUCUUCCCAGAUAAGUCCGGAGCUGAUGUCCAGUUGAUAUUCCUACCUUUUCUGAGAGAUUUGUCAAGUGUGGAGCAAUUUAGUUGGGGAACUGCAGUCCUCGCUCAUUUAUAUAGGGAGAGGGAGCUUUGCCGAGGUAGUAAGAAAGGGGCCAAUGAGAUUUCUGGCCCUCUUAUUCUGUUGCAGAUAUGGGCAUGAGAACAUUUAAAGAUUGGCCGGCCAGAAAGGUUGGUUAGUAAAGGGCAAAGAGAAGGUAUCCAGUAAAGGACAAAGAGAAGUUAUACGGGAUAUGAAGGUUGAGAAGAACAGGACUUCCAUUGUCGGGGAUUCUAUUUUAGAUGACGAACAAUUACCAGCAGAUCCAUUAGGAUGCAGGUAUGUCUCUGCUGUUGGAUUGAAGUGCACAUCACUUUUACUCCACUAUUCAUUCUAGAGAGAUUUGUUUUCUAUUGUAUUAGAUGGCGGGCACCUGUAAUUGGUAGAGAUAAUCCCCACAGAGCAUUAAUAUUUUACAGGGACCAGCUGGAUCAGCAAACAGAUAGGUUCUUGAUUUUA